GAGUUUGAUCCUGGCUCAGGACGAACGCUGGCGACGUGCCUAAUACAUGCAAGCCGAGCGGAGAGAAGAAGCUUGCUUCUUCUUUUAGCGGCGGACGGGUGAGUAACACGUGGGCAACCUACCUUGUAGAUUGGGAUAACUCCGGGAAACCGGGGCUAAUACCGAAUAAUCCAUUUUGCUUCAUGGCGAAAUGUUAAAAGGCGGCUCCGGCUGUCACUACGAGAUGGGCCCGCGGCGCAUUAGCUAGUUGGUAGGGUAACGGCCUACCAAGGCAACGAUGCGUAGCCGACCUGAGAGGGUGAUCGGCCACACUGGGACUGAGACACGGCCCAGACUCCUACGGGAGGCAGCAGUAGGGAAUCUUCCGCAAUGGACGAAAGUCUGACGGAGCAACGCCGCGUGAGUGAUGAAGGUUUUCGGAUCGUAAAACUCUGUUGUUAGGGAAGAACAAGUACCGGAGUAACUGCCGGUACUUGACGGUACCUAACCAGAAAGCCACGGCUAACUACGUGCCAACAGCCGCGGUAAUACGUAAGUGGCAAGCGUUGUCCGGAAUUAUUGGGCGUUAANCGCGCGCAAGCGGGCCCUUUAAGUCUGAUGUGAAANNCCACGGGUCAACCGUGGGANGGUCAUUUGGAAAAU
RNAcentral lists this ribosomal RNA (642 nucleotides) under uncultured bacterium. RNAcentral's name for it is "bacterial SSU rRNA". It matches the Rfam family "Bacterial small subunit ribosomal RNA", at positions 9 to 634 of the family's 1533-position model. The record is from RNAcentral.